CACCCACGGAUUGAAGCUUCUAACCUGAGAACAUGGAAGCCUAAAAUUGUUGUCAACUGUGACAUGGAAAAUUGAACUGAUCUUCACAUAAUAGAUGAACUGGGCACUCUUUCUAUCAAGAUUCUAGAUGGCAUUAGCCAAAGAGAAACCUUUCAAGAUAUUCAAAGCAAAAGGAAAUACAAAACAUAUUAUUAUUCAAAGAAAAGAAAAGGAAGAGAGAGAGAAACAUCAUAUGGUACAAACUGCAGCCUGGUGA
This 256-nucleotide long non-coding RNA is filed under the name Callithrix jacchus (white-tufted-ear marmoset). RNAcentral describes it as "lncRNA (ENSCJAG00000085755.1)". Lineage: Eukaryota; Metazoa; Chordata; Mammalia; Primates; Cebidae. The record is from RNAcentral.